RNAcentral lists this ribosomal RNA (253 nucleotides) under uncultured bacterium. Its description in RNAcentral is "partial 16S ribosomal RNA". It matches the Rfam family "Bacterial small subunit ribosomal RNA", at positions 524 to 776 of the family's 1533-position model. The record is from RNAcentral.
UACGUAGGGUCUGAGCGUUGUCCGGAGUUACUGGGCGUAAAGCGCGCGCAGGCGGCCCGCGAGGUGUCACGUGAAAGCCCCGGGCUCAACUCGGGAGGGUCGUGGCAAACCGGCGGGCUUGAGGCCGGUAGAGGUGGGUGGAACUCCUGGUGGAGUGGUGAAAUGCGUAGAGAUCAGGAAGAACACCCGUGGCGAAGGCGGCCCACUGGGCCGGUACUGACGCUGAGGCGCGAAGGCGUGGGGAGCGAACGGG